This 200-nucleotide long non-coding RNA is filed under the name Gossypium raimondii (Peruvian cotton). RNAcentral's name for it is "long non-coding RNA (GRAI_LNC010464)". The record is from RNAcentral. Lineage: Eukaryota; Viridiplantae; Streptophyta; Magnoliopsida; Malvales; Malvaceae.
UAGGGUUUCAUGUUAUUUUUGAUGUUCCAAUCAGCCCCAUUCAACCCUUAAAAUCUCUUUUAAAUUGCCUAAAGUAGACCUAGAGCUACCACCGUUGGUGAUUUUUACCACCAUUAGAUCCCCUUGGUUGGUUGCCAUUUUUGAGCCUUUAAUUGUUGUUUUGUGCUGAUGUUUCUAGCCUUCUUUUCCUUUAUUUUUCA